UACGGUAACGAACGAGCUAAUACCGGAUAAUAUUUCGAACCGCAUGGUUCGAUAGUGAAAGGUGGUUUUGCUAUCACUUAUAGAUGGACCCGCGCCGUAUUAGCUAGUUGGUAAGGUAACGGCUUACCAAGGCGACGAUACGUAGCCGACCUGAGAGGGUGAUCGGCCACACUGGAACUGAGACACGGUCCAGACUCCUACGGGAGGCAGCAGCC
Molecule: ribosomal RNA, 215 nt
Filed under: uncultured Staphylococcus sp.
Lineage: Bacteria; Bacillati; Bacillota; Bacilli; Caryophanales; Staphylococcaceae
Description: partial 16S ribosomal RNA
Rfam family: Bacterial small subunit ribosomal RNA
Source: RNAcentral